Small nuclear RNA from Castor canadensis (American beaver), 71 nucleotides. NCBI's taxonomy places the organism in Eukaryota, Metazoa, Chordata, Mammalia, Rodentia, Castoridae. The record is from Ensembl.
UGCUACAGAGAAGAUUAGCAUGGCCCCUGUAUAAGGAUGACAUGCAAAUGUAUGAGGCCUUCCAUAUUAAA